RNAcentral lists this ribosomal RNA (254 nucleotides) under uncultured bacterium. Its description in RNAcentral is "partial 16S ribosomal RNA". It matches the Rfam family "Bacterial small subunit ribosomal RNA", at positions 524 to 776 of the family's 1533-position model. The record is from RNAcentral.
UACAGAGGUCCCAAGCGUUUGUUCGGAUUCAUUGGGCGUAAAGGGUGCGUAGGCGGCGCGGUAAGUCGGGUGUGAAAUCUCGGAGCUUAACUCCGAAACUGCAUUCGAUACUGCCGUGCUUGAGGACUGGAGAGGAGACUGGAAUUUACGGUGUAGCGGUGAAAUGCGUAGAUAUCGUAAGGAAGACCAGUGGCGAAGGCGGGUCUCUGGACAGUUCCUGACACUGAGGCACGAAGGCCAGGGGAGCAAACGGG